GAUGAAACCAACUGGACCAAAGACUCGAUCAAUGAAGACGUCUAAGGGUUCUUCUCCGUCUGCCAAGGAAGCGGAUAUUGAGAUUGAGAUCGCCGAGGUUCUUUUCGGACUAAAGAAACAACCACAGUGCUCCAAAAAGCAAGUUAAUGUGAAACCAUCAUCGAAGCAAGAAACAGAGAAUUCCAGUGUUCUUCAAGACGGUUCCAAGUCUUCAGUUACAUCUACAACGGCAAACUCUGCACAAACUGCCUUCCAAAAAUCUGUUUCGCUUCAAAAGAAUGGCG
This 284-nucleotide unclassified non-coding RNA is filed under the name Hevea brasiliensis (rubber tree). Lineage: Eukaryota; Viridiplantae; Streptophyta; Magnoliopsida; Malpighiales; Euphorbiaceae. The record is from RNAcentral.